RNAcentral lists this ribosomal RNA (279 nucleotides) under Vibrio parahaemolyticus. Its description in RNAcentral is "partial 23S ribosomal RNA". It matches the Rfam family "Bacterial large subunit ribosomal RNA", at positions 157 to 483 of the family's 2925-position model. Lineage: Bacteria; Pseudomonadati; Pseudomonadota; Gammaproteobacteria; Vibrionales; Vibrionaceae. The record is from RNAcentral.
CCUGAAUACAUAGGGUAAGGAGGCGAACCGGGGGAACUGAAACAUCUAAGUACCCCGAGGAAAAGAAAUCAACCGAGAUUCCGAAAGUAGCGGCGAGCGAAAUUGGACUAGCCCUUAAGCUUUACACGCGUUAGACGAACGGUCUGGAAAGUCCGACGAUACAGGGUGAUAGUCCCGUAGUUGACGACGUGUGUUCAGUGAAAUCGAGUAGGGCGGGACACGUGAUAUCCUGUCUGAAUAUGGGGGGACCAUCCUCCAAGGCUAAAUACUACUGACUGA